This is an RNA transcript of Perca fluviatilis (European perch), 4232 nucleotides long. It is a transcript of the gene named serine/threonine-protein phosphatase 2B catalytic subunit alpha isoform, with no coding region annotated. The transcript is spliced from 15 exons. NCBI's taxonomy places the organism in Eukaryota, Metazoa, Chordata, Actinopteri, Perciformes, Percidae. The record is from RefSeq and is a predicted model, not a curated record.
AACUUGAUACAGAGUAACAGUAAAUCAGACAGAGCAGCUCCUACAGCACCAGCAGUGAAAUUGUAACCCCGUUGCAAGUAUUUUUGGCCGCUGAUAGGACCGAGUGAGAUCACUGCGGUCUCUUUUCUCGGAUAGACUCAAGAGUUGUUCGGCAAGAGCAACGUAGGGACCGUUUUCAGUCUCAUUUCUGCUAUAUCUCAAUAUUAUAUCACACUGGAAAUGUCCGAAAACAAGCCGAAUGAUGAACCGAAGUUAUCUACGACGGACAGAGUGGUGAAAUCUGUCCCGUUCCCUCCCAGUCACCGACUGACGGCUAAAGAGGUGUUUGACAGCGAUGGGAAGCCCAAAGUGGACGUGCUGAAAGCACACCUAACCAAGGAAGGCCGCGUGGAGGAAGCGGUGGCCCUGAGGCUCAUAGGAGAGGGCGCCACAAUCUUGCGUGCAGAGAAGAACCUGCUGGACAUCGAGGCCCCUGUGACAGUGUGUGGAGACAUCCAUGGGCAGUUCUUUGACCUGAUGAAGCUGUUUGAAGUCGGAGGAUCACCAGCAUCCACUCGCUACCUUUUCCUGGGGGACUACGUUGACAGAGGGUACUUCAGUAUUGAAUGUGUGCUGUACUUGUGGGCCUUAAAGAUCCUUUACCCCAAAACACUGUUUUUGCUGCGUGGGAAUCAUGAAUGUAGACAUUUAACAGAGUAUUUCACAUUUAAGCAGGAAUGUAGAAUUAAGUAUUCAGAGAGGGUGUAUGACGCAUGUAUGGACGCCUUCGACUGCCUUCCCCUGGCUGCACUUAUGAACCAGCAGUUCCUGUGUGUACACGGAGGACUGUCUCCAGAAAUCACAAAUCUUGACGACAUCAGGAAACUAGACAGAUUCAAAGAGCCCCCAGCUUACGGACCGAUGUGCGAUCUGCUGUGGUCCGACCCCCUGGAGGACUUUGGGAACGAGAAGAGCCAAGAGCAUUUCACACACAACACAGUGCGAGGCUGUUCCUACUUCUACAGCUACCCUGCAGUCUGUGACUUUCUACAACACAAUAACUUAUUAUCUGUCAUCCGGGCCCAUGAAGCGCAGGAUGCUGGAUACCGCAUGUACAGAAAGAGUCAGACCACUGGCUUCCCGUCCCUCAUCACCAUCUUCUCUGCACCCAACUACCUAGAUGUCUACAACAACAAAGCGGCAGUGCUGAAGUACGAGAACAACGUGAUGAACAUCCGACAGUUCAACUGCUCACCUCACCCUUACUGGCUGCCCAACUUCAUGGACGUUUUCACCUGGUCCCUGCCCUUCGUUGGGGAGAAGGUGACUGAGAUGCUAGUGAACGUGUUGAGCAUCUGCUCCAAUGAUGAGCUGACGACUGACGAGGAGCUGGACGGACAGCUAAUAUACCCCCCCAAAAAAGGUGCCACAGCUUCUGCCCGUAAGGAGGUCAUCCGCAACAAGAUCCGUGCCAUUGGCAAGAUGGCCAGGGUAUUUUCUGUGCUCAGAGAGGAGAGUGAGAGCGUGCUGACGCUGAAGGGACUGACACCAACUGGCAUGCUACCAAGCGGAGUGUUGUCCGGUGGCAAAGAAAAGCUGCAGAAUGGUAUAAUCGGUUGUGCAAGUAUUCUGUUGUGUUAUUUUUUUCUUUUUUUCCUUUUAUUUGUGAGACAAGUUUAGAGUUCAGUCCACCCUCUUAUGUUGAAUUCCAAACACUCCCUAAAUAAGUUUGACAAGCAGCUGCAGCGUGGAAGUAAAGGCUUUCUGGACCAAAAAAAAAACCGCCUUUACAAACACAUUUCAAAUUUACUUGGGACUCCUGACAGUAAUGGUCAUUUUUUUUUUAUUGUCCAAAUUUGAGUGCUAGUGUUGUGGAUCUCCGCAGCGCUCCGCCGGGAUAGACGCAGGACUCUGCGAUUCAAAGGAUGAAUUGGAAUUGACACAAGCAACUGUGAAUGAAAGGGGGAUAGCAGCUGUCUGCCUUUCCUUUACAAAAUAAAGCAGAAAUCCAAACAACCCUCUCCUCUCACAGGUUCUCACACAUCAGCUGGCACUUUCCUAAAUACGCAUUUAUCACUUUAUAAGAAUAGGUACGUCUUUACUUCAAAGCCAGCGUGGUUAACAUUUGCUAAAACUACAAACCAGGGUAAAAUGGUAAAAGCUAAAAUCAGACUAUUUUUUACAGUAUGUCGUAAUCUAGCAUGCACUAGAAUCACAAGUUGUGUAAAGUUUGCUAACAUACGCCACUGGGAGCUUCUCAAGUAGCAGCAAAACCCCUAACUUUGAUGGAAUUGAGCGAGUGUAUUUUUAUCACUAAUGAACUCAAAGUUUUUAUUUCUAACAUGAAAGAAUGUGUCAUUUUUUCAUUUCAAAAGUUCCAUAGUUUCACUUUAAAGGCCACUCGGCUUAAGCUUUAACAUAUGACAUUCGCGUGAUUUUGUUAGAUGCAGUUGGCCGAUAGAAUGACAGGGAAUUCUAAGCUGCAGGCAGCAGAAGAAAUUCUCGUUGUUUCCACAAAUCAUGUAACCGAAACUAAACUAGGGCCCGUUUGUAACUGCGUUCUGAGUUUUGAUUUGUGACCUCCUGUGGGAGGGGAAGUGGCCAAAUUGGAACAAAAUAAAAUCUGGACAAAGGGAAUAAUUAGGGAGGAUGGGAUGCUCUCCUCUAUUUCAGCCCCACUGAUUUAUGCUGAAAAGACUGGGACUACUUUAGCCUUAUUUUUUUACAUUCAGUAAGAAAGCUACGGCUCUAACUCUAAAUUCAUAGGUGGAGCAUAUCCAAUAAAAAUGUGUAGUAGACACGGAAAAAUAAAUAGCAACCUUAUUAAAUGGCUUUUAGCUCAACAUUUGCUGUAUUUCUGGACUUCUAUAAGGGGUUUGAAACCACUAAACACACUAGCACCUCGAAAAUUGUGUUCCUGCUGAUGACCUGCUUAACAAUGGUGGUCCUAAGGGGGAGGAUAUGAAAGUUAAAAGUUAGAGUAUUUGUUUUGAUGCUUAUUUGGAAGCAGCUGACACUUAAGAGAACCCCCGUGAAGGUAGAGUGAUGUUCAGAGAUUCCUGUUGCAACAUUGGUAGAAUCACAUUGCUCCCCUCCCUUUUUAAGCAGACGCCAGUGUGCUUCUACUGUAAUGUUGACUCCAUCCGCCAUUCCGUUUACAGUGUGUUGCUCUCGUGCCUUUUUUGUAAUUUGUUCUCAUCCCCAUGGUAGUACUGUAUGUCCUGUAGCCUUCAGUACUGUACUGUACAGCCGUUACUUUGCUGUCACCUUCUGCCUCAUCCCUGUCGUCUGUGUAAAGCUGAUUUUACACACUUGUACUGUAUGUGAAUUUGUAAGCUCAAGGAUGACUGUAAGAAAUUGGUAAGUGGUUAAAACGCCAAAAGGUUUUUUUUUUUUUUUUUUCCUCCUCCCUCGCACUUCACAAAAGUAAGCCAGCAUUUUUGAUAUUUCAUAUCAAAAGAUGCGAUAUCCCGCAGUUCCAGAUGCUGCUUCAUGUUGCACACAACACAACAGUAACGCUGCUCCAUGUGUCUACAGCGCUUGGAUUCUACAUUAACAGUUAAAGCCACAGCCAUAAACCCCCACAAUCACACAUGCACUUAAACCUUAUUCCUGUUUUCCAUUCGUCCUAUUUCAGCUCUCCCUUCUAUAUGUAUGCUCUUAUUUGCAUAAUAGUACAGAACUAAUAUACUUCCAGCUUUAACGUGUUGUUUUUUUGUGCCAUCAAUGUCCGUCCCUGCAGUAUUCAUUUUUUUUUUUUUUUUACUCUCACCACAUUGAUCCGUUUGUCAGACCAUGUCAGACUUUUUCAAAGCACCUCAAGGACGCAAUCCUCUCCACGAGGUCAUUCGCUGCCACAAACGUGUCACCUUCCCUUUACAGAUCUGGAACUCAUCACAAAGCUAAGGCUCACCCCUCUCCUCUCCCUCCUCCUUUUCCCCUCUUCGCUAACAUCCAUGUGUCCUUUGUCACAAAAUGUGGAGAUGACGUUAACCUUUUGUUGUCGGCAUUGGCUGUCUUUGCUGCUUAUUGAGUUGUUCCUAGGACAAACUGAACUCCUCUGCUCACUUCUCUCAUUCGUUUUGCAACCCCCCUCUUCUCUUCAGCUACUAUUGAAGCUAUUGAGGCUGACGAAGCCAUCAAAGGCUUCUCGCCCCAGCACAAGAUCACCAGCUUCGCCGAGGCGAAGGGUCUGGAUCGCAUCAACGAGAGGAUGCCGCCGCGGCGAGACGCCUUGCCCUCCGACGCCAGCC